AUUGUUUGUGUGUGCCUUCCAGACAUGAGUUUUUAGAGGAAAGCAUGGCUGGUGUUGUUGCAGACAGAAAAGUCAAAGGAUCUGGAAAUGAAGAAACAACCAUCUGCAGCAAGCGAUGCAAGAUUGCACUAUUGCACUUCAAAAGAGUGCCAGGCAGAAAAAAUAAC
This is a long non-coding RNA of Sinocyclocheilus grahami, 167 nucleotides long. RefSeq lists it as uncharacterized. The record is from RefSeq and is a predicted model, not a curated record. NCBI's taxonomy places the organism in Eukaryota, Metazoa, Chordata, Actinopteri, Cypriniformes, Cyprinidae. The transcript has 3 exons.